UAUAGCAAAGUUAUGCAGCUUCUUUCUGCACUGCGGCCGGGCAAAGUUUUCCCUCAAAUUAUGCAGUUAAUGAAACAAACUCCUGAGUGAAAUACAUAUCGCGUGGGCAUCACGUCGACCUGAAACUGGAUACGCAACGCAGCAGCUGCUUAUUUCACAUGUAAUUUGGCUGGAAGCUAACUUCUCAAAUUGACGGCGGCGCACAAGGUCCUUGCAAUCGCUGCAUUUCAUGUGAUACGUGUAGAGCGAAGCAGCUAUCAAAAUCUUUGCGGGCAACAUCCAUUUGUUUAAGGUGGAUUAACUGGGAAAGGACUUUCCAGCGACAAAGUCUACGCAAAUCCUUCACUUUUACAUAACAACCUUCAAAUAAGGAAAGGAAUCUGAUCUAUGUUACAACUUGAGGAACUUGAACUGGUAACCUUCUUGUUCAAGUUGGAAAACUUAUGGACCACGAUUUGCUUUUAUACCCUGAACCCAUGUAACAAGCAGAAGGAAGCAUC
Molecule: small RNA, 500 nt
Filed under: Drosophila virilis
Lineage: Eukaryota; Metazoa; Arthropoda; Insecta; Diptera; Drosophilidae
Description: GJ26361
Source: RNAcentral